This 654-nucleotide ribosomal RNA is filed under the name uncultured bacterium. Its description in RNAcentral is "bacterial SSU rRNA". It matches the Rfam family "Bacterial small subunit ribosomal RNA", at positions 129 to 822 of the family's 1533-position model. The record is from RNAcentral.
CCCUUCACUACGGAAUAGCCUCUGGAAACGGAGAGUAAUACCGUAUACGCCCUUUUGGGGAAAGAUUUAUCGGUGAAGGAUUAGCCCGCGUCUGAUUAGAUAGUUGGUGGGGUAACGGCCUACCAAGUCGACGAUCAGUAGCUGGUUUGAGAGGAUGAUCAGCAACACUGGGACUGAGACACGGCCCAGACUCCUACGGGAGGCAGCAGUGGGGAAUCUUAGACAAUGGGCGCAAGUGAUCUAGCCAUGCCGCGUGAGUGACGAAGGCCUUAGGGUCGUAAAGCUCUUUCGCCAGGGAUGAUAAUGACAGUACCUGGUAAAGAAACCCCGGCUAACUCCGUGCCAGCAGCCGCGGUAAUACGGAGGGGGUUAGCGUUGUUCGGAAUUACUGGGCGUAAAGCGCGCGUAGGGGAUUGGAAAGUUGGGGGUGAAAUCCCGGGGCUCAACCCCGAACUGCCUCCAAAACUAUCAGUCUAGAGUUCGAGAGAGGUGAGUGGAAUUCCGAGUGUAGAGGUGAAAUUCGUAGAUAUUCGGAGGAACACCAGUGGCGAAGCGGCUCACUGGCUCGAUACUGACGCUGAGGUGCGAAAGUGUGGGGAGCAAACAGGAUUAGAUACCCUGGUAGUCCACACCGUAAACGAUGAAUGCCAGUCG